CAAUAGCGUAUAUUUAAGUUGUUGCAGUUAAAAAGCUCGUAGUUGGAUUUCGGUUAAGAGCGACCGGUCCGCCGUUUGGUGUGCACUGGUUGGUUUUAACUUCCUGUAGAGGACGUGCUUUGGGUUUAACGACCUGGACUCGGAGUCUACGUGGUUACUUUGAAAAAAUUAGAGUGUUCAAAGCGGGCUUACGCUUGAAUAUUUCAGCAUGGAAUAACACUAUAGGACUCCUGUCCUAUUUCGUUGGUCUCGGGACGGGAGUAAUGAUUAAGAGGAACAGUUGGGGGCAUUCGUAUUUCAUUGUCAGAGGUGAAAUUCUUGGAUUUAUGAAAGACGAACUUCUGCGAAAGCAUUUGCCAAGGAUGUUUUCAUUAA
This 375-nucleotide ribosomal RNA is filed under the name uncultured eukaryote. RNAcentral's name for it is "partial 18S ribosomal RNA". It matches the Rfam family "Eukaryotic small subunit ribosomal RNA", at positions 592 to 976 of the family's 1831-position model. The record is from RNAcentral.